CAGCAGCCACGGGAAUACGUAGGUGGCAAGCGUUGUCCGGAAUUAUUGGGCGUAAAGGGCUCGCAGGCGGUUUCUUAAGUCUGAUGUGAAAGCCCCCGGCUCAACCGGGGAGGGUCAUUGGAAACUGGGAAACUUGAGUGCAGAAGAGGAGAGUGGAAUUCCACGUGUAGCGGUGAAAUGCGUAGAGAUGUGGAGGAACACCAGUGGCGAAGGCGACUCUCUGGUCUGUAACUGACGCUGAGGAGCGAAAGCGUGGGGAGCGAACAGGAUUAGAUACCCGGGUAGUCCCUGUCUCUUAUAC
Molecule: ribosomal RNA, 301 nt
Filed under: uncultured bacterium
Lineage: Bacteria
Description: partial 16S ribosomal RNA
Rfam family: Bacterial small subunit ribosomal RNA
Source: RNAcentral